CAGAGGGGAAGUGGAUUACAAAUGACACAAUCUUUCACCAUUAUACAUGGAGAUAGUUCCAGUGAAGAUGAUCAUGAAUAAAUUCGCCAUACGCAAAUCUAUUAUACAUACAUUUUACAUUCUUGAAUAUCUAAAGGAUUCUUCAACAAGCAAGGACAUUAAAGCCCAUUUAGUAAUAAGGAAAUAUGUGAAAUUAACCUAAGUAGUUAAAGUAGAAGUUAUACUUCAGGCUUCACCUUUACAUCUCCAUUUGGCAAUAGACUUUGUGCUUGAGCCAAACGUUUUGCCUCAGCUGCAGAAGCUGCACGAAUCUCCCUAUAAGCUUCCACUUCCUCGGGGAAAGCCUGUUCAAGGUCCUCCAGAAGAUGUCCUCGCAAACCCUUGAAUGCAUCAGUU
Molecule: unclassified non-coding RNA, 396 nt
Filed under: Hevea brasiliensis (rubber tree)
Lineage: Eukaryota; Viridiplantae; Streptophyta; Magnoliopsida; Malpighiales; Euphorbiaceae
Source: RNAcentral